This 1884-nucleotide long non-coding RNA is filed under the name Oncorhynchus kisutch (coho salmon). RNAcentral describes it as "lncRNA (ENSOKIG00005033585.1)". Lineage: Eukaryota; Metazoa; Chordata; Actinopteri; Salmoniformes; Salmonidae. The record is from RNAcentral.
AUGGAAGAGAUAGAGAUGGUGGUGAUGGACAAGGGGAAGGAGACGUCGUCAUCGCAACGGAACAGAAUAUCACCGACGAGGAGAAGACUGCUGCCGCUGCUCGCACACAGAGGAAGAGGUACACACCACACACACACAGAGAGGAGAGGUACACACACACACACACACACAGAGGAAGAGACACACACACACACACACAGAGGAAGAGACACACACACACACAGAGGAAGAGACACACCACACACACACACACACAGAGGAAGAGACACACACACACACAGAGGAAGAGACACACACACACACACACACACACAGAGGAAGAGACACACACACACACACACACAGAGGAAGAGACACACACACACACACACACACAGAGGAAAGAGACACACACACACACCACACACACACAGAGGAAGAGACACACACACACACACACACACACACACACAGAGGAAGAGGUACACACACACACACACACACACACACACACACACAGAGGAAGAGGUACACACACACACCACACACACACACACACGGAGGAAGAGGUACACACACACACACACACACACACACACAGAGGAAGAGGUACACACACACACACACACAGAGGAAGAGGUACACACACACACACACACAGAGGAAGAGGUACACACACACACACACACAGAGGAAGAGGUACACACACACACAGAGGAAGAGGUACACACACACACACAACACACACAUAGGAAGAGGUACACACACACACACACACAGAGGAAGAGGUACACACACACACACACACACAGAGGAAGAGGUACACACACACACACACACACACACAGAGGAAGAGGUACACACACACUACAGACACACACUACACACAGACAGGAACUCACUUGUCUAGAGAAAAGCAGACAAACAGAUGUACACACACAUACAGGAACACGAACACACCCUCAAACGCACGCGCAAACACACACACACACACACGCAAAUACACAGAUGGUUAGCACAGAACAGGGGAGGGUUUAGUAUUGGGUAUCUAGGGGAGGGUUUUAGUCUAGGGGAGGGUUAGUAUUGUGUAUCUAGGGGAGGGUUUAGUAUUGUGUAUCUAGUCUAGGGGAGGUUUAGUAUUGUGUAUCUAGUCUAGGGGAGGGUUUAGUAUUGUGUAUCUAGUCCAGGGAGGGUUUAGUAUUGUGUAUCUAGUCUAGGAGAGGGUUUAGUAUUGUGUAUCUAGGGGAGGGUUUAGUAUUGUGUAUCUAGUCUAGGGAGGGUUUAGUAUUGUGUAUCUAGUCUUGGGGAGGGUUUAGUAUUGUGUAUCUAGUCCAGGGGAGGGUUUAGUAUUGUGUAUCUAGUCCAGGGGAGGGUUUAGUAUUGUGUAUCUAGUCUAGGGAGGGUUUAGUAUUGUGUAUCUAGUCUAGGGGAGGGUUUAGUAUUGUGUAUCUAGUCCAGGGGGAGGCUUUAGUAUUGUGUAUCUAGUCUAGGGGAGGGUUUAGUAUUGUGUGUCUAGUCUAGGGGAGGGUUUAGUAUUGUGUAUCUAGUCUAGGGGAGGGUUUAGUAUUGUGUAUCUAGGGGAGGGUUUAGUAUUGUGUAUCUAGGGGAGGGUUUAGUAUGGUGUAUCUAGGGGAGGGUUUAGUAUUGUGUAUCUAGGGGAGGGUUUAGUAUUGUGUAUCUAGGGAGGGUUUAGUAUUGUGUAUCUAGUCCAGGGGAGGGUUUAGUAUUGUGUAUCUAGUCUAGGGGAGGGUUUAGUAUUGUGUAUCUAGUCCAGGGGAGGGUUUAGUAUUGUGUAUCUAGUCCAGGGGAGGGUUUAGUAUUGUGUAUCUAGUCUAGGGGAGGGUUUAGUAUUGUGUAUCUAGUCUAGGGGAGGGUUUAGUAUUGUGUGUCUAGUCUAGGGGAGGG